CACUGAGAAAGCACCGGUUCUCGUCCGAUCACCGAAGUUAAGCUCAGUAG
This 50-nucleotide ribosomal RNA is filed under the name Nematostella vectensis (starlet sea anemone). Lineage: Eukaryota; Metazoa; Cnidaria; Anthozoa; Actiniaria; Edwardsiidae. The record is from RNAcentral.